CCUCGGACCCUGACUGGUCCAAGGGGAGCGCUAGCGGCUUGGGUUCGGGUACUCGCUCCAGCGCCUCUAGCAUAGGUAGCAGCGCGGGUAGGAUUUCCAGCAAGCGCAGUAGGCGCAGGCGUCGGGGCACAGAUUCCUCCCUUGCCUCUACUUCCUCGGAGGGUCUGUCCUCCUCAGAUGGUGGCUUGCACAGGGUGAAGCGUCGUAGACGACGCGAGCGUCGGUAUUCCACCUCGUCCGCGUCCCAAGUAUCGGUGGAAUCGGACACCGUGCACUGCGCCAAUACAGCGGUACAACGUGGACUCAGGCCCCGGGUCCGGGACCGUAUCCGUAAGGGCCAAUAUGUGAACAUUUUUGCCCUUACCAGCGACGAUCGCAAAGCCCUGCUUUCGGCUAAGAAAAAGGGGCAGGGUAGCGAGGACGCUUUGCGGUCCUACCAGAAUUGGGUCCGCUGCAUGUUGAUCUUUGCGGCGUGUUACCUAGAGACACGCCCGGAUGAACAUAUGAACGUGGUGCGCUAUCAAUUUCUCAUACACGUUCUGUACCAUAAGUAUAAAGGGUCUGCCUGGCGGCGCUACGACGAGGAUUUCCGACGCAAACAACACGGCCGGCAGAUCUAUAAUUUUGGUAAAAAAGACGUGGAAUUGUGCUCUGAACUGACACAAGGUUCGGCCGCCCCUGAUGACGGCGGCACGGCAAGACGAUGGGCAAAAAAACCUGCCUCUCGUUCUGCCGGCUUUCGUGGAGGCGCAGGGCGCACGGGGCAUGGGAAAUGCUUCGCUUUUAAUAAUGCACAAUGCGACUUGGGGGGGGGGCGAUGUCGUUUUCGCCACUCCUGUAUCAGAUGUGGCGGGGGCCACGGGAUUAAGGAUUGCCCCAGUCCUGGGACCGGGAGUGCUUUUGGCUCGCAGCCCCGACAGAGUCGCGCUCCCGCGGCCACCGGCGCUAGCCACAGCUCCCUCCCCAAUUAGACUUUGCGCGCUCAUUCCCUGGCUGCGACGAUACCCGCGGUCGGGGGACGCCCAAUUUUUACACUUGGGUUUCGCGUCGGGUUUCCCCUUGCCGAUACAUGGACGGGUGGGUCCUGGGGCGGGUACUAACCUGCGUUCGGCUCGGGAGUUUCCGGACGUGCUCCGGCACAAGGUAGAGGCAGAGGUGGCCUUAGGGAGGAUGAUAGGCCCUUUCCGGGAACCCCCCUUGCCAGAUUUGGUCUUGUCCCCCGUAGGCGUAGUGCCCAAAAAGACAGCGGGCAAAUUUCGCCUCAUACAACACCUUUCCUGUCCUGUGGGGUCCUCGGUUAAUGACGCUAUCCCUGCUGACCAGUGUAGGGUCGUUUACCUGUCCUUUGAUUCGGCCAUUGACACCGUACGGUCUUUUGGCCCAGGGGCAGUUAUGUGUAAGUUGGACAUCCAGUCUGCGUUUCGUCUCCUUCCGCUGCACCCUUCCGCCUUCAGGUUUAUGGGUUUUAAGCUGGACGACGGCUACUACAUAGAUCGGUGCCUCCCUAUGGGUUGUUCCAUCUCUUGCGCCUACUUUGAGAGAUUCAGUUCCUUCCUCCACUGGUAUCUCCAGCAGGCAACGGGCGAACGGGGAAUUUCCCACUACUUAGACGAUUUUCUUUUUAUCGGCCCCUCAGACUCCCCUCGCUGCGUCAACCUGCUGCAGGGGGCUCUGGCCCUCUUUGCACGCUUCGGGGUUCCGGUUGCACCAGAAAAGACGGAGGGACCCUCCGCCUCCUUGGUUUACCUCGGGAUCCAGAUUGAUACGGUCGGGGGUCUCUGUAGGCUUCCUUCGGACAAGGUGUUGCGUUUACGUGACGGUAUCAUAUAUGCGCUGUCCGCGGGCAAGCUCACUCUCAAACAGGCCCAAUCCCUAUUGGGCCUGUUUAACUUUGCUUGCAAAGUGAUACCCAUGGGCAGGGUUUUCUGUAGAAAAUUGGAACGGGCCACCGUGGGGGUUAGACGCCCGCAUCAUUUCCUCAGGUUGUCCCUCGAAAUCCGUCGGGAUCUAAGCAUUUGGGACGAAUUUCUUGUUUGUUUCAACGGCACCUGCAUUUGGCAGGAGGCGAUCGUGUCUAGCCCGACCCUGGAGCUUUUCACGGACGCCUCCGGCGCUUUCGGGUUCGGCGCUUACUUUGCGGGUCGUUGGUGUGCCUCUCCUUGGCCGCAUGCCUGGCUUCGCAGGGGCCUCACUACGAACAUGCUGUUGCUGGAAAUUUUUCCUAUUCUGGUCGCUUUAGAAUUAUGGCGCGAUGCCCUGCGUAAUAAACAUGUUGUCUUCUGGUGCGACAAUCUGGGCGUGGUUUUUGCCAUCAACCGCCAAAAAUCCACGUCCUUGCCGGUAUUGCGGGUCAUUGCGCAGAUAGUCUUGUUAACCAUGUCCCUGGCGUGCGUAACGAAAUUGCAGAUGCCCUGUCACGCGGCGAUUUGCGGCGAUUUAGGCGCUUGGCUCCUGCAGCUCUCCUCCAUGGGGAAUUAUGUCCUGCUUCUGUGUGGCAGGUCAUCCACCUGGAUUGGAGGCGUUAGCCCACAGGUCAUUGGCCCCUGCAACUUUUGCGGCCUAUCGGGCCGCCUGGGAGCGGUGGUGUCGCUUCCUCCUGGAGAGAGGCCAGUGUGGUGUCGGCAGUAGCCAGCUUAUAGGAUCCAUUGUCCUACUGUCCGGAUUGGCUGAGCAGGACAUUUGCUGGGACAGUUGACUGAUGUCUCACAUCAGGAGCCCUCGGCCAGUCAGCGACGCAAUGCCGGAGAUGGUUGUAAAGAUUAUUGGAAGCAAAUACGUUCGAUAUCCUGUGGAUCAGGCUAAGCAAUGCCCAGUCAGAAAUAAUGAUGUAGGAAGCAGUGAGUCAGCAAUAAGGGUGAUCUUCAGUGGAAUCCAUGACGUAGACUCCUUCAGGCAG
Molecule: RNA transcript, 2896 nt
Organism: Pseudophryne corroboree (corroboree frog)
Lineage: Eukaryota; Metazoa; Chordata; Amphibia; Anura; Myobatrachidae
Gene: C9H1orf87
Gene name: chromosome 9 C1orf87 homolog
Exons: 3
Source: RefSeq, a predicted model, not a curated record